AUACGUAGGGUGCGAGCGUUGUCCGGAAUUACUGGGCGUAAAGAGCUCGUAGGCGGUUUGUCGCGUCGUCUGUGAAAUCCCGCAGCUCAACUGCGGGCUUGCAGGCGAUACGGGCAGACUCGAGUACUGCAGGGGAGACUGGAAUUCCUGGUGUAGCGGUGAAAUGCGCAGAUAUCAGGAGGAACACCGGUGGCGAAGGCGGGUCUCUGGGCAGUAACUGACGCUGAGGAGCGAAAGCGUGGGUAGCGAACAGGAUUAGAUACCCUGGUAGUCCACGCCGUAAACGGUGGGCGCUAGGUGUGGGUUUCCUUCCACGGGAUCCGUGCCGUAGCCAACGCAUUAAGCGCCCCGCCUGGGGAGUACGGCCGCAAGGCUAAA
Molecule: ribosomal RNA, 378 nt
Filed under: uncultured bacterium
Lineage: Bacteria
Description: bacterial SSU rRNA
Rfam family: Bacterial small subunit ribosomal RNA
Source: RNAcentral